This 537-nucleotide ribosomal RNA is filed under the name Ondatra zibethicus (muskrat). RNAcentral describes it as "partial 12S ribosomal RNA". It matches the Rfam family "Bacterial small subunit ribosomal RNA", at positions 772 to 1527 of the family's 1533-position model. The record is from RNAcentral. Lineage: Eukaryota; Metazoa; Chordata; Mammalia; Rodentia; Cricetidae.
CUGGGAUUAGAUACCCCACUAUGCUUAGCCCUAAACUUCAAUAUAUAUAGUACAAAACAAAUAUAUUUGCCUGAGAACUACUGGCCACAGCUUAAAACUCAAAGGACUUGGCGGUACUUUAUAUCCAUCUAGAGGAGCCUGUUCUAUAAUCGAUAAACCCCGUUAUACCUCACCACCCCUUGCUAAUUCAGCCUAUAUACCGCCAUCUUCAGCAAACCCUAAAAAGGAGUAAAAGUAAGCAAGAGAAUUACCAUAAAAACGUUAGGUCAAGGUGUAGCCAAUGAGGUGGGAAGCAAUGGGCUACAUUUUCUUACAAAGAACAUUACGCUACCCUUUAUGAAACUAAAGGACAAAGGAGGAUUUAGUAGUAAAUUAAGAAUAGAGAGCUUAAUUGAAUAGAGCAAUGAAGUACGUACACACCGCCCGUCACCCUCCUCAAACUAAAUAAACGAAAUAUAUACAUAAUUACAUCAACAAUUUACGAGAGGAGAUAAGUCGUAACAAGGUAAGCAUACUGGAAAGUGUGCUUGGAAUAAC